UGCCGGAUAUGCUUAAGAUGGCCCUGAGCUUGAGACUGUUAAUCUCAGGGUUGUGGAUUCAAGCCCCACAUUGGGCAA
Molecule: non-coding RNA, 78 nt
Organism: Podarcis lilfordi (Lilford's wall lizard)
Lineage: Eukaryota; Metazoa; Chordata; Lepidosauria; Squamata; Lacertidae
Source: the annotation of a GenBank genome assembly